AUUGAUUUUGCAGCAAAACACAAUAUAACAGCUGACAUUGAGGUUAUUUCGAUGGAUUAUGUCAAUACGGCAAUGGAGCGGCUCGCCAAGGCUGAUGUUCGGUAUCGAUUUGUCAUUGAUAUUGCAAACACCUUGGCCGCCACCAAACCUUGAAGAAUCAGAAUCAGAAUCAGAUUGGUGUCUUCAAUUCACAACUUUGUUCCAUGAUCCACUUUGCUAUAUGUAAUGCUCCCUCGAUCAUUACACUCUUUUAGCGCUUAAAUUACUUUUAAUUUCCAGUUACAUCACCCUAAUUAUGUCGUGAUUGCCAAAAAACUAUAAAUGUUAAUGAAAUAAAACAUUGUUCAUAUAAAAUAUUUAGCAUAUGUACCUUUCACCAAUUGUCCAGUUGAAAAGUUUGUUUUGUUCUAAAUCACAUAUAGAGUUUUGCUCUCAUGCGGCACUUUUCAUUUUUUUUUUCUUCUCGUACCAACACUAUCAAGUCGUAUAAUUCAAUAAAAUUAGUAUAGAUGGCAGAAAUCUAUAAAAUCAUAUUUGCAAAGGUAUGUAGCAACAGCAGCGUCUAGGUUCCUCUGACCUUGAACAAAAAUAUACGAUUGUCCUAAAUGGCUCAUGAAUUCAUAUCACAAUUUUCAACGCUGCAUAUAUGUUUUCCAACAGAAAAUUUCUCUGGAUUAGGGUUUAGUGUUAUGUUAAAUUUUUAUCGAGUAUUGAAUCAAUCAUUGAAUUAAUAGUUAAAAUUGUUUUAAAUUUUUAAAUUUUUACAAUUUCUCCUAUUAAUAACUAUUGAUUCAAUAUCCAGUAAAAAUUUAAUUUAGCACGUAAUCCUUAUUCGACUUUGCAACCAAAGAAAACAAACAAAACUUCAUCGGUCAAUGGAAGCAUUUUCUUAGGACCUCACGGUUCACCCCCAAUGUUGAUGCAUGAUGGAUGAUUCUAUCAAGAUGAAUAUAGUUCAAGUUUUACCACCCCAUCAAAUCUAUCAUGAAAUUUCAUUUAUUCUUUUUUUUUUUUGUAGAUCUUAAUAUGUACUAUGAUUGAAAAAGAGAGAGAGAGAGAGAAUAGUAAAAUCCAUAUCUAAAAUGGUAUGUGGUAUGUAUAUAGUAGUACAUGAUCUAUAAUGGUAUGUAUAUGAUGUACAUGAUAUGAUCUAAGCUCUGCUUGUGCUACCUAUAUUUUAGUGUUAGUAUAUAAUUAGAAUUUAACUACCUUUAUUUUUUAAUUUGUUAAUUACCAAUCACUUUAAUAAAAUAUAAAACUUACUAGGGGUGGUAAUAUGGGUCAGGAUUCGUUUAUUCGAUUCGAUUCGAUGCGAAUUAAAUGGGUUUGGGUUUGAAAAAAAUUGAUUCGUUUAAUAAAUGGAUGAAUUCGAUUUGAUUCGUUAAUUAAACGAAUCGAAUGCGGGUUUGAAAAUUUACAUUCGUUUAUUCGUUUAGAAUUCAUUUAAUAAAUGGGUCAUAAACGAAUCGAAUACAGGUCGAUUCGUUUAUUAUUCGUUUAAUUAAAUUACUUUUUUAUCCUUAAAUUUAUUUGAAAGCUUUUUAAAAUUUGAAGGUUAAUAUUGUAAUUUUAAGCAAAUAACAAAAAAAAAAAAAACCAAAGUAGCGGAAACCCAAAUGCUAAAUCCCUAAAAAUUCUCCCCUCACUCAGCCGCUCUCGUUGCUCUAUGCCUCUCUCACACGAAUCACACUCACCCACCCAUACCAAGUGAAGCAAUCAAGCAACAAAAACAACCGCCGGUAGCCACUGUCAUUAACUCACAGGGAACUGACGAUUACAACCACCAUCGUUCAUCUAUCGUCGAUUGAGCUUGAGGGACGCAGCCACGCGAGUGCAGCCCGCGACUCGGCAGCAACCCAGGAGCAUCAGCUGCGCAACGUAUUAGCAGCCACUCGAACCCACAGUAGUGGCUAACCCGUGCGGCGGUGCAGCAGCAGCAAACCCAGGCGACUGCGACCCGAACUAGUGCCCAGGCGACCCGAAUCAACAAGCCAUCACCAACUCAGAGUAAUAUCAUGAGAUUAUGGUUGAAUUAUUGAGAAAUUUUGUAUUGUAGAAUAUUAUGAGAUUAUGGUUUAGAAAAUGUUUGGGAAAUUUACAAAAUUAGCCAUAAAACUUUUACGUUUUUCAACUUUAACCCCCCAAAGUUUUUUCUAUCAUAACUAGCCAAACACCUUAUGUUUGGACUACAUUACCCUCAUCACUUUCAUCAAAUUUACAAAGCCAUGCCACUUUUUCAAAUUUACAAAGCCAUGGCACCUGUUCCAUUGCUUGUCGCGCAAAAACCCAUGGAUUUUAUGGAGUACAUGAUUUUGGAUUUGAUUUGUCUCGUCGUAAGCUUCGAAACGGUAUAUUAUACGCCUAAAACGAACAUAUAUAGCUCAAGUUAUGGCUUUCGAAACAUAUAUGAAAUUUAGUGAGACAGGCAAGUGGGACAGGUGCUUGUCGCACAUAAACGCACUGCAUUUAUGUGCGAUAGGCACCUGUCCCACUGCUUGUCGCACAUAAACUCACGGCGUUUAUGGAAUGCAUGAUUUUGGAUUUGAUUUGUCUCGUCGUAAGCUUCGAAACGGUAUAUUAUACGCCUAAAACGGACAUAUAUAGCUCAAGUUAUGGCUUUCGAAACAUAUAUGAAAUUUAGUGAGACAGGCACCUGUCCCACUUGCCUGUCUCACUAAAUUUCAUAUAUGUUUCGAAAGCCAUAACUUGAGCUAUAUAUGUCCGUUUUAGGCGUAUAAUAUACCGUUUCGAAGCUUACGACGAGACAAAUCAAAUCCAAAAUCAUGCAUUCCAUAAACGUCGUGAGUUUAUGUGCGACAAGCAGUGGGACAGGUGCCUAUCGCACAUAAAUGCAGUGCGUUUAUGUGCGACAGGCACCUGUCCCACUUGCCUGUCUCACUAAAUUUCAUAUAUGUUUCGAAAGCCAUAACUUGAGCUAUAUAUGUUCGUUUUAGGCGUAUAAUAUACCGUUUCGAAGCUUACGACGAGACAAAUCAAAUCCAAAAUCAUGUACUCCAUAAAAUCCAUGGGUUUAUGCGCGACAAGCAAUGGAACAGGUGCCAUGGCUUUGUAAAUUUGAAAAAGUGGCAUGGCUUUGUAAAUUUGAUGAAAGUGAUGAGGGUAAUGUAGUCCAAACAUAAGGUGUUUGGCUAGUUAUGAUAGAAAAAACUUUGGGGGGUUAAAGUUGAAAAACGUAAAAGUUUUAUGGCUAAUUUUGUAAAUUUCCCAAAAUGUUUUGUAUUGUUCGGAAAAUAUUAUGAAAUUAUGUAUAAAUCGAUUAUGGUGUUAAAAAUUAUCUGUAGGAUAAGGAAGAAGCUCCCACAAAUAUUGGAUUAAAAUUUUUUUUAGUAUUAGAAUUUAUAAUUUAUUAUGUUGUAUUGUUAAUAUUUUGUGUAUUGGAAUAUUGUGCAUUAGGAAUAUUGCCGGGUUAGAAUUUGGCAUACAUGAUGAAUAGAUUCGUGGUCUUGGUAAUGGUGCUUGAAAGUGAUUAUGUAUGUUAAUUUCUCUGUUAGACUUUUUCUUUGAUUUAUUAGUUUAUGAACAUGAGCACUAAUUGUGCUCCAUCUGUAGAGAGUGCAAAUGAUCCAAAUGACAGUGUUAGGUAAGGUUUUUAUCUUGUUUAAUUAUUAUUUCCUUGAAAAUGCUACAAAUUUGCUAUAUAUUUGAUUUUUGAAAUUUUACAAUGACUAUUAUCAAUAUUGGAGCAUGUUAAUAACAUUUUAUUUAUUUUUUCGUGUAGGAUUUUUGUUUUCAAGGUGACAAAGACAAAUGAAAAGAAUUAAAGAAAUUACAUUUCUUUAUAAUUUCAAUUUGAAUUAUUGUUAUUUGUAAUAUUAAGGAUUUGGUAUUUGUUAUUUGGAUGACUGUAUAAUAUGAUUUGAAUUAUUUGUAUUUUGUUGUGGGAUAUUAAAUUUGUGUUUUUUUUGCUUAAUUUUGUUUAUUAAUUAUAUUUUUCUAAACGAAUUGUAAACGAAUCCUGAUUCGAUUCGAUUCGUUAUGGAUUCGUAAAGGAUAAACGAAUAAUAAACGAAUCCGGAUUCGAUUCGAUUCGUUUAUCAAUUCUAUUAAACGAAUUAAACGAAUUGAACCGAAUAUUCGUUUAAUAAACGAAUCGAAUCCGAAUCUUGAAAUUUCAAUUCUUUUAAUAAACGAAUCGAAUUCGAAUCCAUAGAAUUUUGACCCAAUUCAUUUACGAUUCGAUUCGAAUUCGAUUCGUUUAUUCGUUUUGCCACCCCUAAAACUUACUCAAAAGAAAAUCAUAUUAAGAGAGAAUCAUGAUCCAAUUAGAAGAGUAUGUUUCUUACAUUUCAUAAAUAUUUUUGAACAUCUUUUAAAAUUGUCGGUUCAUUUUAAGGUAAAAUUUCUAACUUUUUGUGGAUGAGUUUUCAUGACUAAUUUGCAUGCAUAUAUAUCUUAAUAAUAUUAAUCAAAUUGAUACGGUGUUCCAUUUGUUUGGAUGGUUAAGAAAAUCUAAGUUUCAGCACAAAUGAUCAUUGGGCUACAAAUCCAACGAUAGACUGGUACUCUCAAUUUAUUCUGCUACCAGAAGAUAGGCCGUCCAUGUGUACACUAUGAAAUGUAAUAUUUUUAUCAUAUUUAGGAGGAUAAACGUCUUAUUAUUUAAGAUAAUAAUUGUUAAUGUGUACAUUAUAAAUACUCAGCAUCUGGUUAUUCUAGAAGGCUCUUUGAUAGGAUUCUAUUGGUAUUUGAAAAAAAAUAUCAAUAUUCUCCCAGUUUAAUUAAUUUUUUUCCAAGAUGUUUAAUAAAUAAAUUUUAAGUAUAAAAAAAUAUUAAUAUUCUCCCAGUUUAAAAAAAUUCACAAAAAUAUUUUUUAUUUUUAAAAAUAAUUACACAAAUUUAUUUUUAUCUUUAUUUAAUUUGAAUUUAACUGCAAGAUUUUUAAAAAUUCAAAAGAAUUUAAAUUAAGAUAAGGUCUUAUCUUUUUAAAAAUAUAUAAAUUUAAUUUUUUAUUGAACAAUAGUUAUACAAUACCUUAUGAUAUUCUUUAUGUUAAAAAGUAAAAAAACAACAAAAUUCACAUUAGCCUUUAAAAUUUAUCAAAAAAAAUAUUUGUAAUUAUUUUUUAAAAAAAAUCAAAUUUUUGUGAUCAUUAAUUCCACCGAAUCAGCGCGCUGGGUUCUCAUUUUGCCGUAAGUCUCAUAAUGGUUGUUCGUGGUGUUGCUUUUGACAGGUAUCCACCUUUGAGUUUGCGACACUAGGAAUUGAAUAAUAAUAAUAAUAAUAAUGGUGAAGCUGACCCAAGAAGUAUCUCGCUGGUCCGCCAUGUCAUUGACGGUGGACAUCCCAUACAUAGCGCAUCCGUAUGUCACAUGUUAGCUCACUGAUUACUUCAGCAAAAUUUAUGACCCCCUCUCUCCACCUCCCUGCUGUCAGCCUGUUCCCGAUAAUUAUUAUUUUUGAGAUGCUCGAAAAUAAUUUUAAAGUUAAAAACUGAUUUUUUUUAUAUAUUAGGAAAAUUUAAAUUUAUUCAUAUUAAUUAUAAAAUAAAAUUAUUUUGAAGAGAUUAUUAUCAUUAUCAAUAAUAUUGAGAUAAAAAAUUAUUAUAUAUAUUAUGUUUAUUAAUAAUUAUUAUAUAUACACAAUAAAAAAUAUUAUACAUAUAUUAAAUAAAUUUUAUUUAAUAUUAUAUCUAAUUUAGAAAUUAUUAAAAUUUUAAUUUAUUCUUUUUUUCAAUAAAUUAUUUCUACAUCACAUCUAAUAAUAAUUAUUUUAAAAAUUAUAAUAUUAUCUAAUUAGUCUUCAUUAUAUAUAAUUUUUCUCGAUUAUGACAUCUUCACUUUAUUAAGGUGAAGAUAUUAACAAAAUAUAAAAAAAAAACACCGACUUUAAUGUAUUAAAAAAUUAAAAUUAUAUUUUUUUAUCCGUUAAUAACUUAAUAUAUUGAAAUCAUCACUAAAUCAGUUGUUAAAUCCAUAAUUACACAGUUACGUUAGCUAUAUCGGACUGCUGAAAGUAAAUGCGGUACCAUAUUAUAGUUGCAACAUAACUGAACCUCACUAAACAAUGAAUAUAUUAUAAAAUAAAAUAUAUUAUAUUAAAUUUUGUAUUUAUAUUUUUUAAUUUAUCUUCUCUUUAAUAUAAUAAAAAAUCUUGAUUAGAAACAUCUGUACACACAUUAACAUUCAUAUGAAGCAUAAACAAAAACUGGUACUUUUACUCGUCUCAUCACAUCAUUCAAACCACUAUAAUAAUGAUAACAUUGCCGUUCUCUCAUCCAAAAUGGCAAAAUCACCAGAAGAAGAACAUCCAGUAAAGGCCUUUGGGUGGGCAGCCCGAGACAGCUCCGGCCAUCUCUCCCCAUUCAACUUCUCCAGAAGGUAAUUAAUAGUUGAGCAUAAUAUAUAUGUGUGAUGCUGCUUUAAAUUUAUUUAAAAUUUUGUUACUGUACGUGUUGAUGAAAUGGUCAUAAACGUGGAUAUGUAAAAUACGGACAGGGAAACGGGUGAUGAGGAUGUGAGGCUGAAGGUAUUGUAUUGUGGGAUCUGCCAUACUGAUCUCCACAACAUCAAGAAUGAAUGGGGCUUCUCUCUCUUCCCUAUGGUUCCUGGGUAUGUACCCAUGAUCUAUCUACCCUUCAAUUUUUGUUUCUUUUGCAUUUUUUUUUGCAUUUGUUUUUGUUUCGGGUCAAACCCAGCUACGCAUGAACAGGCUGUUGUUUCCGUCACGGCGCUCCCUAAUUAUUAACUACGGUACUUGCCUGUGUAUACAGAAAGAGAUUAACCAAGGCCAAGGCUUUGGGAUCUUUUAAUUUGAUACAAAUCGUCCCCAAUCCUAUUUAAUUCUAUCUUAUAUAGAGGUGCUAGUGAAAUAUUGGUAACGAGGGUUUUAAUCUUACCGUUCCAUAUUUGAUGUGAUGAAUAACUGGAAUCUCCUGUUAAAAGUGGCAAACAUAUAUAUUUACGGGUCAUCAUCGUUUAAUAAGAUUUUCUUACAACAAAUUAAACAAAAAUAGAGACACACAAAUUUUAAUGUAAUAUAAAAUAAAAUAUAUUGGAUGAAAAUAUGUAUUUUUCUUAUACAUUAUCUUCAUAACUCUUGGUAGAUUUAUACUCUCUAUCUUAUAAAUAAAGGGUGGAAAUAACAAUUAACUCAAUUAAAGCGUUGUUAGCAUAGAUAUCUUUUUUUUUUCCCAAUAAAAUUAAUUUAUUUCCAUUUGACUCUGUACAAUUUUUAAAUAUUCCAGUGUAGUGGCCAGUGGGGUGCCUUGGCAUCAUUAGAGUGUUGAGAUCACACUAAAGACUUAACCCAUCAAAAUGGUACACCUGUGUAAUUGCGGAAUGGUCAAUUAUGAGAUUUUACUUGAGGGAUAGACGAGGUUGACAAAUAAACGGAGACAUGACUUGUAACUUGAAUUUGCAUUCAAAUGAAGACUUGUAAAUUUUCAAAUUUCAAAUUUCUUUGCUUGAAGAAUUUUAUGAUUGAGAAACUUACUGACAAAAGAAAAGUUGGUGGAGUGGUGUAGUAUAUACGUUUCCAGAAGCUAGCUAGUUAUAUAUUGUCAAAAACAGAAUCAAAUACCUUGUUUCCACUAAAGUAAUUUAUCAUAAACAAAUUGUAUUUAUUUGCAGGCAUGAAAUUGCAGGGGAAGUGACAGAAGUUGGUAGCAAAGUAAGAAAGGUUAAAGUGGGAGAUAAAGUUGGAGUUGGAUGCAUGGUUGGUGCAUGCCACAGCUGCGAGAGCUGUGCCAAUGACCUUGAAAAUUACUGUCCGAAAGUGAUACCCACCUACACUUCCAUUAACACUGACGGAACAAUCACAUACGGAGGCUACUCUGAUCACAUGGUUGCCAAUGAGCGCUACAUUGUUCGAUUCCCUGAUAGCAUGCCCCUUGAUGCUGCUGCUCCCCUGCUUUGCGCCGGGAUUACCGUGUACAGUCCAUUGAAAUACUUUGAACUAGCAGAACAAGGAAAGCAUGUAGGCAUCGUUGGCCUUGGCGGGCUUGGUCAUGUCGCUGUCAAAUUUGCCAAGGCUUUUGGGGCCAAAGUGACAGUAAUUAGCACCUCUCCAAGCAAGAAGACUGAAGCUCUUGAACAUCUUGGCGCUGAUUCAUUUUUGAAUAGCCGUGACCCUGACCAAUUGCAGGUAAUUUAAUUAGAUUCACGCAUAUAUUGGAGAAAAAUAAAAAAUAAAAUGCAUUCCUUAAUUUUAAUAUAUAUUUUGUAAUAACUUCAUCAGGGUGCCAUGGGCACAUUGGAUGGUAUUAUUGACACGGUGUCCGCUGUGCACCCCAUUUUGCCAUUGCUCGGUCUAUUAAAGUCCAAGGGCAAGCUUGUUCUGGUUGGUGUUCCGGACAAGCCACUCGAGCUACCUGUGAUUUCCUUAAUUAUGGGUAAGUUCUAACAAAAUUCUUCGGAAACUUGUGGUCUAAAACUUGUAAUUAAUAUAAGUCAUUUGAUAACAUAAAAUGACAUAGCAGGGAGGAAGACGGUGUCAGGGAGCAGCAUUGGGGGAAUGAAAGAGACGCAAGAGAUGAUUGAUUUUGCAGCAAAACACAAUAUAACAGCUGACAUUGAGGUUAUUUCGAUGGAUUAUGUCAAUACGGCAAUGGAGCGGCUUGCCAAGGCUGAUGUUCGGUAUCGAUUUGUCAUUGAUAUUGCAAACACCUUGGCUGCCACCAAACCUUGAAGAAUCAGAAUCAGAAUCAGAUUGGUGUCUUCAAUUCACAACUUUGUUCCAUGAUCCACUUUGCUAUAUGUAAUGCUCCCUCGAUCAUUACACUCUUUUAGCGCUUAAAUUACUUUUAAUUUUCAGAUACAUCGACCCUAAUUAUGUCGUGAUUGCCAAAAAAGUAUAAGGGUGCGUUUGGCACACUGUAUUAUAUUAUGUUGUAUUGUAUUAUUUUUAUGCUGGUGUGUUGCAUU
Molecule: long non-coding RNA, 8882 nt
Filed under: Citrus maxima (pomelo)
Lineage: Eukaryota; Viridiplantae; Streptophyta; Magnoliopsida; Sapindales; Rutaceae
Description: long non-coding RNA (CMAX_LNC000063)
Source: RNAcentral